GACUUCGCCAGAUUUAGACCUAAAUCUAUGAACCAUGCAAUACCACCCAAAUGAAUGAAUCUGUAUCUGGACGCUCUACACAAACGCGCAGCCUCUCGUCAUCAUCUCAUCACUCUAUAUCAAAUUGAAUCCUUUUCAAAGUUCGAGAAUGAUGCAUGCACCUGUGUAAUUGCCACUUUUUGAUUUUCCAAUUCAUACUGUUAGAGUAUAUAUGUAACAGCACCCGCUCAUAAAUUGGUUGGUUCGCAAUCACAAUUAAUUUGUCUGAACUUGGCUGCUAUAAGUUCACCAAGACUGAGUCAAAAAGGUAAUAAGCACUAAUCCUAUAUUGAAGGCUCUCUAGUCUUAAUCAUCUUCAUGUUUGUCACAGUUAACUUUUCAAAACUAUGGCAGAGGCGUUGUGCCAUGAAGACAACCAGCACUUCGAGCAUUGGAUAUGAUAACGGAGCUUACAGCAACCAGGCACACACAUAUACUUGUAAGUAUAAUCAACAAACUUGAAGAGUUAUUCUAAUUUUCUUUGUUCUGUUCUGUUUCUUCUAGAAUGUUUCUAUGAUAAACCCUGUCAGAUAUUUCAAAGAAUGAAGACAGGACUAGGAGGAUUAAAAAGCUGGUUUAUCUUUGUAUUCUGAUUGUACUGUUAGUUUAUAUUUAUUGUUUUUUUUUUAUCAGUAAAGAAUAAUGAAAGUAAAUGAGUCAUUUCAAAAAGUGUUUUUACAAAUAUCAAAACAAAAGUCUAACAUCUAGUAUAAACUUAAAGAUGUAACAUAACAUAUAACAACCUUAGGCUUCCUCAUAUAAUUAGAUUAGAGAAAACUCAACAAACCAGAACCAAAAUACAAACUUCUCCAACACCAAAAACCAGCAAAUCAGAUGGCACAAAGCUGCUUAUUGUUAUUGUUGUCGAUCCUGCACUGCAGCCACUGUAUGUAUAUGAAGUAGAAAACCUGGUUAUUGAUUCCUUCAUUCAAAAUUUCCUGCACAUAUGCCUGAGUAGUCAGUUAUAAUGGCAUGCUGUUUAAUGAGUUUCAAAGCAUAGGAAUGUUUUAACAUGAACUACAAUUGGAAGAAAUACUUUUGUAGAUUCCAAAAAAUCCACAUCGGGUCUAACUACUUUUAUAGGGGAGUUGUAUCUUGACAAUCCAAGUUACAAAGAUGUGUUAUUUGAAGCUGGAAAAGAGGUAUAAUAUAUGAAAUUUUUCUUGCAUGAAUUGGGUCAUGUUCAAGAAUGUUCUCCAUUGUGACAACCAAAGUGCAAUCCACCAAACUAAGAAUCCUACAUUUCAUUCUCGAACAAAGCACAUUGAUUAUCGUUAUCAUUGGAUAUGAAAUGAUUUGGAGGAUGGAGAGUUGUACCUAGAGAAGGUUCAUACAAAUGCAACUAGUCUGACAUGUUGAUCAAGGAAAUUUCUGCUAAGAAGCUAACAGAUUGUUGUAGGGGAGCUGGAUUAUUGAUACCCCUUAAUUAAGUUGGGAAGAAGAAAAUUUGUUGGGACUUAUAAAAAAAAUAUUAACCCUUUUUUGAAUGCAAUGAGCCUAAUCAAAGCAUUAGAUUUGAGGUCAAAAUAAGAAAGUUUAAGUGCAAUGAGAGAACACCUAAUGAAAAUUUGUGUUGAGUUUAGGUGUCAUGAAUUCUCUCCCACUGCGCUAUUGUUGAAAAAUUAUGCUCUAGGUGCAAAAUUCUUAUUUUGAUUAAGUUAUGAUUAUUAGGUGUUAUGAUUGUUGAACUAGGAAAAAUUCAUUAAGUUCCAGAUUUUUUAUCAGCAAGAAAAGAAUAUAUAAAUAGAGGUAUUUCAGGAAUACCUUAACCCUUAUACAAGAGACAAAAAAUACCCAGAUUUAAGCAAACCUUCUCUUCCCUACCUUACCUCCAAUCUCUUACAUACAUCCAAUAGUUGACCCACGCUUCUCUAACCAAUAUUAUUUUUAAUAGAUUUCAUACACAUCAAUGGUUCCAGACACCAAUCAGAAUAGGAAAAACAUGAUAAUCGUACCUUCAAGGUUAUUAAUGACCAAGCUUUCAGCUGCGCCAUCGUAAAAUUUCGGUAUGAUCUAUGCGUUCGUUUUUUAAAAUCUUGUUAUUUCUUUGUUUCCACAAUUCCCCUAUAACUAUCCACACACACAUGCAUAUCUGAUUAACAACUUCACUUUGCUCAAUCAUCCUAAACUGAGAAAAAUGCAUUUCGGCUCCUGGUGUACCAUCAAUGUCAUGCACACCCACUCAUAACAUUUUGACCAAACAAGCCAAGCUACUCGACAUGUACAAAAGAGGUGAGACAUUGUUUCCUCUCACCACACAUAUUACAAACACCGUUUUCCACAAUUAUCCCCUUUUUCACCAGGUUAACUUUCGAUACUAUCUUAUCCUCCAACACUCUCCAAGCAAUAAAAUGAGUUGAUGGUUGUGCCUUAUUCCUCCCCGCCUCAUACAUAGUAACACCUUCAACCUGCCCUUCACCUUUCAACACUCUGUAAGCUGAUUGAAACUGUAAACUUUGUGGAUUCCCUAUCUCUCCAAACCACGAGUCCGCUUUUUCUUCAUUUAAGCUUUUCCUUCCCAACAACAUUAUCAGUUGUUGCUCCUGUUCCUUUUACCAUUCAAACAAACACCUUCUCCAUCCUAUCUUCCACAUCCAUUCAAGAUUAUUAUUUCAUUCUCCACCUUGCCUCAGCUUGGUUUCCCUGCAAGAACAAAUUAGGAUUUAGUUGCAGAUCUCUUCUAUUAUUUUAAGUUUUGUUUGAUUAGGUGUUAUGUUUGGAUUCUAUAUUCCUUCUUAAAUCAAAUUUCCUCUUUGGUCAUGUUGAUUGUGUAGGAUCAGUUUUUGGGCAUUAGGACCAACUUCUACAAAAGACCUAUGCUGAUGGGUUAUGCCAUUCUUUAUCUUAUGGCUUAUCUUUAAAUCUUUUAUGUUUUAAUUUCUAAAAUAAUUUGAAAUGUUAGUUUUAAUUCUUAUAAAAUUUAUUAUGUAUAUUCAUUUCAAAAUGCGUUUUUGAAAAGAAAAAAUAUAUUCUGUGAUGAGAUAUGUUAGAGGAAAAAAAAAGUAAAAAUAAUUCUUUUUAUGUAACAAAAGUAAGUAGAACCGUCAACCUUUCUUCUUAAAUUGUUUUAGAGUCUUGAUAUAUUGACAUUGUCCACACUAUAACACACAUUUGACACUGCAGACGUGGCAAUGAUGUGACAUAGUAAAUAAGGUAGUAGCGCUAAUGAGCAGUGAGACGCGAGCUUUAAAAUAUGGUAAAAAUGAAUAUAUUAUACUGGUUCUUAGUAACAACCAGUGUAAUAUAUAUUUUUUUUACUUAGAAUGACCUAUAUUACACUAGUUAAGUCAUCUAACUGGUGUAAUAUAUGGCUCAUAUUCAAAAGCUUUUUGAAUUUUUUUUCAUGAAGAGCGGGUGACCAUAAACGUCACAAAAGUGACCACUUACAGGCACACGGGUAACCAGUUUUGCGUGUGUGCCAUUACAUGUGGAGGAACCUGUAGCUAGGUAACCAGUUGUGAUAGGGUGUGUGUCAAGUUCUGCCAUGGGUGUAAUAUAUGGCCCAUAUUCAAAAACUUUUUGAAUUUUUUCAUGAAUUGUGGGUGGCCAUAAACAUCAUAGAAGUGACCACUUACGAGCACACAGGUAACCAUUUUUUCGUGUGCCAGUACGUACAUGUGGAGAAACCUGUGGUUGGGUAACCAGUUCUGGUAGGGUGGGUGUCCAGUUCUGCCAUGGGUAACCAUGUGGUUAGCCGAAAGGGUUGUAAUGACGAAAUUGAAAGUGAUUACGGAGUAAGAGUGAGUUUUUAAUGUUGUGGGGGUGAUGCAAAAGUAAUUCCUAGCUCAUUUGAGAUAGUUGAUGUUGUGAAGAGUUGGUGGCCAUAAACAUAACACAGGUGGCCACUUACACACACAGGUAACCACUUUAGCUGUGACAGUAGGUCUGUAGGAAGCUAUGCCAUAUAUUGCAGUGGUUGGGUCAAGUAAUUGGUGUAAUAUAGGGUCAGUUCUGAUUGAUGAGUGAAGUCAAUGAUGUUGAGCACUUGAACAAAAAACAAAAAAGCAACGACAACCGCACAAGAAAGACGUUUACACUACAAGAAAAUCACUAAAUAGAAACCGAUUUUAGAGACAAAAAAUAAUUAGUUGCUAUAGUGACUAAAUUAGAGACCGUUUUAGAAACUAAAAAUAUUAUUGGUUUCUAAAUUAGUUUCUAUUAUUGAUGAAUAAUUUCUAAAUUGGUAUCUAAUUACCUACCAAGGUUUUUGCUACCAAAUUUAGAAUCUAAAUAAUUGGUAGUUAAAACCUUGGUACCUAAUUAGAUACCAAAUUAGAAACUAUUUAUCAAUAUUAGAAACUGAUUUAGAAACCAAAAAAAAAAUAGUUUCUAAAACGGUCUCUAAUUUAGUCACUAUAGUAACUAAUUAUUUUUUGUCUCUAAAAUUGAUUUCUAUUUAAUAAUUUUCUUGUAGUGUUAUGGUCUGUGUUUCUCGCUGCUUCUUUGUCUCUCCCUUCGACGAGUUCGUUGCUUCUUUCUUCCUUUCGUUCCAAACUCUCUCGCUUUUGCACUCGCACUCAAACACUAAACUCAUACACUUAUACAAAAUUACUCUCAAUGACACAUCACUUCCAUCAAAAUUACAAAAAAUCCUACUACCACAUUCUUACGUCUAUGAUGUCAAAUUUGUAGAAGGAGUUAAUAAAACAUUUUCGAUUGUUUUAUUUCCUUUCACUAGAUAAAAUAAUAAACAACAAUUAUAAUACACUCAUUUUUUUUCCUUAUCCCUAUUUUCAAUCAUAUUUUUCUCUUUUGUUAUAUUUGUUACUUUUUUUCUCUUUUUCCUCGUAUUUCUCUGUUUACGCGCCCAGAAAUAGGAUGUACCUUAAUCAUUACUCAGUACAAUAAAUAGUUUUUUUAAUAGCAGUACAAUAAGUAGUAAUAAAAAUAUUAGCAUUUAAGUCGAGGAUUUAAAAUGUAUUCUUAGGGGAACUAAUUAUAAAUGUAUGUACCCAAAAAGUAAUUAUAAAUAUGAUAAUAUAUAAUAAAUAUUAAACUCUCUUUAAGUAAUUUCGUUUUCUGAGACGGAAACAAUAAUAACUGUUACCUUUUGUCUUGACUGUGGGAUUUGGACUUGAAACUUACUCUCUUCUAUCUUCUUCCGCCUCCUUUAAACCCUAUUCCUCACUACAAACCAGGAUACCCUUAAUAUUUUUCCCUCAAAACUAAGUCAAAUUAAUGAUGCGAAUUUAUUUCGUUUAACGUUUUCAGGAAAAUAUUUCUGGAACAACAGAAACAGUGUUGGACUAAGAGGUAUGUUUGUUUUUUGUUCGUUCAUUUUUUUGUUGAUUCUGUCAGGUAUUUCAGGAAAUGGAAUAAUUUCAUCAUCGUAAAGAGGACAUAGCAUUCUUUUUUGUUGCAUAUCUGGAGGAAUUGGAAUGACCUACUGAUUCAAAUUUUGAGAAUCGGUAAUAUUGGGGUUUCAUUGAUUAUUCUUUGCGUUAUUUUGAAUGUAUAGUUUCUUACAGGCAUAAUGCUUAGUAUACUCAGCAGUAAAAUAGCAACUUCUGAAUCAAUAAAUAUACUUAAGAUUUGCCUUAAAAUUUUCUUCCAAUAUUACACAACUGUUUGAGAAAUCUGGUGCUUAUAACGUUAUAAACGUCAGUUUUAUUCUGUGGUCUAGUAUUCUUAUUUCUGAGUAAAAUGUUACUAUGCCCUUGUUUAAUUCAUGAAGCUAUACUGUUAUAUAUUACUUCUUGAGAUCUAGAUCAUAAGAGAGAAAAUGAUUAGAUGUGAGUGCUCAACAUAACUGCAGGAUUUAGCUGAAACAUGUAUAGGUAUGGGUGCUAUUUGCUGAUAAAAAAAAAUGUAUAGGUAUGGGUUGGUUUGUUCCUACCAUUUCUUUAUAAGAUUUGGAGUAUUCCUCAGAUAUUUUAUUUUAAUUAAAUUUAUUUUUUACUGAUAAAAGCUAGAAAUAAUUUAAGUUGAACAUCUUCCAAAUCAGUAACAAGUUAUACGCCCAAGUCUGCUGACAAGUAGAAUGCAUAAAUAUGAAGCUUGAGAUCUAUUUGUCUUUCUGGAUACAAGUAUUGAAUUACAAAGUGCUGCUAAAGAAAUGUAUAUACAGAAUUGGUUCUUAUUGCAGUGAUGGCCUAUUUCAGAAAUAUUUUCUUAUUUUCCUUUAUUUUCUAUUUAAAGAUUUAUUACAAAUUUAUGAAAAUAAGAUUUUCUCCAUUAUGUAUACUUCAGCUGAAAAUAAUGAAGUUUCGCUUUUUGUUAUUUUAUGUUUUUUGUGGUGUUAUGAACGGAAUACACUGUUGGGGGGUCAUAUGUGUUUGUUGAAAAUGAUAAAUCACUGUGUUCAUAUAUUCAGACACAAUAUUUUGAGUUUCUUAAUUCGAUAGACUUUUAGGUUUCCUGCGUUACACUUGAAGUAUUCAAUGAGUUUAAGAACAUUUGUUUGUAGUAUUAUACUUUCUGGUUACAGUGAUUGCAAAAUCCUCAUUGAAUUGAUUGACCACAAUUUACAAAGUUUAAGGGACAAGGAUAUUAGAUAUAACACAAAAGGCCCCUAAAAUCAUUA
RNAcentral lists this long non-coding RNA (6562 nucleotides) under Phaseolus vulgaris (common bean). RNAcentral's name for it is "long non-coding RNA (PVUL_LNC002368)". Lineage: Eukaryota; Viridiplantae; Streptophyta; Magnoliopsida; Fabales; Fabaceae. The record is from RNAcentral.